CUGCCCAGUGAUCAGUGACAUGAUUUAACGGCCGCGGUACUCUAACCGUGCAAAGGUAGCAUAAUCAUUUGCUCUAUAAUUGAGGGCUUGUAUGAAUGGUUUGACAAGAACAAUACUGUCUCUUAAAAAUUUACUAAAAUUUGGUUUUUAGGUGAAGAAACCUAAAUAAAAUUGAAAGACAAGAAGACCCUAUCGAGCUUAAAAAAUACGUUAACUAUAUAGAAAAACUAAAACUAACGAAAAAAUUUGGUUGGGGCGACUGAGGAACAAAAAAAGCUUCCUUUAAUAUAAAAAACUUAUAUGUAUUGAUCCAAAAUAUUUGAUUAAAAAAAUUAGUUACCGUAGGGAUAACAGCAUAAUCUUUUUAGAGAGAACAUAUCGAAAAAAAGGUUUGUGACCUCGAUGUUGGACUAGGAUAUCCUAAUAGAUUGCAGAAGUCUUUAAAGG
This 447-nucleotide ribosomal RNA is filed under the name Pseudobaikalia pulla tenuicosta. Its description in RNAcentral is "partial 16S ribosomal RNA". It matches the Rfam family "Bacterial large subunit ribosomal RNA", at positions 1859 to 2571 of the family's 2925-position model. The record is from RNAcentral. Lineage: Eukaryota; Metazoa; Mollusca; Gastropoda; Littorinimorpha; Baicaliidae.